Molecule: ribosomal RNA, 253 nt
Filed under: uncultured bacterium
Lineage: Bacteria
Description: partial 16S ribosomal RNA
Rfam family: Archaeal small subunit ribosomal RNA
Source: RNAcentral
UACCCGCAGCUCAAGUGGUGGUCAUUAUUAUUGGGCCUAAAGCGUCCGUAGCUGGCCUGUUAGAUGCCUGGGUAAAUCGAAGCGCUCAACGUUUCGACUUCCGGGUAGACCGGCAGGCUCGGGACCGGGAGAGGUGUAGGGUACUCGGGGGGUAGGGGUAAAAUCCUGUAAUCCUCCGGGGACGACCCGUGGCGAAGGCGCUACACUAGAACGGCUCCGACAGUGAGGGACGAAGCCCUGGGGCGCAAACCGG